CAGAGUGUAGCUAAGAUAGAUACAGCAUCUCACUUACACCGAGAAGACGUCCGUGCAAGUCGGAUCACCCUGA
This 73-nucleotide transfer RNA is filed under the name Pseudopleuronectes americanus (winter flounder). Its description in RNAcentral is "tRNA-Val". It matches the Rfam family "tRNA". From Rfam's summary of the family: Transfer RNA (tRNA) molecules are approximately 80 nucleotides in length. Their secondary structure includes four short double-helical elements and three loops (D, anti-codon, and T loops). The record is from RNAcentral. RNAcentral also lists the same sequence under 2 other names. Lineage: Eukaryota; Metazoa; Chordata; Actinopteri; Pleuronectiformes; Pleuronectidae.